GACGAACGCUGGCGGCGUGCUUAACACAUGCAAGUCGUACGGUAAGGCCCUUCGGGGUACACGAGUGGCGAACGGGUGAGUAACACGUGGGUGAUCUGCCCUGCACUUCGGGAUAAGCCUGGGAAACUGGGUCUAAUACCGGAUAGGACCACUGCCUGCAGGGGUGGUGGUGGAAAGGUUUUGCGGUGUGGGAGGGGCCCGCGGGCUAUCAGCUUGUUGGUGGGGUGAUGGCCUACCAAGGCGACGACGGGUAGCCGGCCUGAGAGGGUGACCGGCCACACUGGGACUGAGAUACGGCCCAGACUCCUACGGGAGGCAGCAGUGGGGAAUAUUGCACAAUGGGCGCAAGCCUGAUGCAGCGACGCCGCGUGAGGGAUGACGGCCUUCGGGUUGUAAACCUCUUUCAGCACCGACGAAGCGCAAGUGACGGUAGGUGCAGAAGAAGGGCCGGCCAACUACGUGCCAGCCGCCGCAGUAC
Molecule: ribosomal RNA, 478 nt
Filed under: uncultured bacterium
Lineage: Bacteria
Description: partial 16S ribosomal RNA
Rfam family: Bacterial small subunit ribosomal RNA
Source: RNAcentral